GCUAGGGGUCCAUCCCGGAUUACCAACCCGAUGCAAACUGCGAAUACCGAAGAGUAAUGUAUAGGAGACACACGGCGGGUGCUAACGUUCGUCGUGGAGAGGGAAACAACCCAGACCGCCAGCUAAGGUCCCAAAGUCUAUAUUAAGUGGGAAACGAAGUGGAAAGGCUUAGACAGCUAGGAUGUUGGCUUAGAAGCAGCCAUCAUUUAAAGAAAGCGUAAUAGCUCACUAGUCGAGUCGGUCUGCGCGGAAGAUGUAACGGGGCUAAAAUAUAGCACCGAAGCUGCGGCAUCAGGCGUAUCACACAUACGCCUUACGAUUAACACCUUGCRRAGCAAGGUGGUCAAGCGACUUACACGUUGAGGUGUGAGCGGGAGGGAUAAUCGRAGAGAGGAAUAUGUGUGAUACGUCUGUUGGGUAGGGGAGCGUUGUGUAAGCUGAAGAAGGUGGUUCGAGAGGGCUGCUGGAGGUAUCACAAGUGCGAAUGCUGACAUAAGUAACGAUAAAGCGGGUGAAAGGCCCGCUCGCCGGAAGACCAAGGUUUCCUGUCCAACGUUAAUCGGGGCAGGGUGAGUCGGCCCCUAAGGCGAGGCUGAGAAGCGUAGUCGAUGGGAAAUGGGUUAAUAUUCCCAUACUUGGAUAAACUGCGAUGUGGGGACGGAGCAGGUUAGGUUAGCGUACGGAUGGAAGAGUACGUUUAAGUUGGUAGGUGGGGUGUUUAGGCAAAUCCGGGCACCUGAUAACACUGAGAGAUGAUGACGAGGCWCYAMGGWGCUGAAGUAACUGAUACCCAACUUCCAGGAAAAGCCACUAAGCGARAGGUUUAUCUAAACCGUACUGGAAACCGACACAGGUGGUCAGGUAGAGAAUACUAAGGCGCUUGAGAGAACUCGGGUGAAGGAACUAGGCAAAAUAGCACCGUAACUUCGGGAGAAGGUGCGCUGGCGUAGUGUGAAGUUCUUCGCGAAUGGAGCAUGAACCAGUCGAAGCGACGAGCUGGCUGCAACUGUUUAAUAAAAACACAGCACUCUGCAAACACGAAAGUGGACGUAU
This 1053-nucleotide ribosomal RNA is filed under the name Gallibacterium anatis. RNAcentral's name for it is "bacterial LSU rRNA". It matches the Rfam family "Bacterial large subunit ribosomal RNA", at positions 919 to 1846 of the family's 2925-position model. Lineage: Bacteria; Pseudomonadati; Pseudomonadota; Gammaproteobacteria; Pasteurellales; Pasteurellaceae. The record is from RNAcentral.